Long non-coding RNA from Apodemus sylvaticus (European woodmouse), 1837 nucleotides. RefSeq lists it as uncharacterized. Lineage: Eukaryota; Metazoa; Chordata; Mammalia; Rodentia; Muridae. The record is from RefSeq and is a predicted model, not a curated record. The transcript has 3 exons.
CGGAGAACGACACAAGCUUCACAGAGAAACUCGAGGACACCCUCCUGUGAGCGGGAGGCUCUACCCCUCUCGACUGCUGAAUAAAUAACAAGAACGAAGAAGUAAAAGGCAUCAGAGAGCAGCACUGGGUGAACAAGAGGACGAAUCGCACGUGUACAGACAGCUGAUUGUCCACCAGCAACACUGGAUGCCAGACGAUGAUGGGAUCAAGCCUCAGAGGCAGCGAGGAGAAAUGGCACAGUGCAGCACUUCUACCCUAGGCGUAGCCACCUUCCAGAGUAGCAACUUGACAUGGAUUGACAGCUUUAGCAACACAAGUAUCCAGGCUCUCCUGGCAGAAGUCUCCUGUGGUUUCACUGGGCUGAAAGCAAGGGGAAGCCAAGCUGAGUUCCUUCUGCAGGCGCUGAGGAAGAAUCCCUCCUCGCACGUUGGUACUGAAUGCAUGGAUCCUCUUCUACCAUCAAUGCCGGCGUGGUUGGCUGAGUCCUUCUCAUACCAGCACAUCUCUCAGAUCCCCUCACAUCCAUCUUCCUGAGCACAGCAUGACAAGCUGGCUUCCUCCUUAAGACUUCAUGUCAUUAGAGGUGUUUACCCAGAUAAUGUCACCAACUGCCCUUCUGUUAUGCUCUGUAACCUGGUCACCAGGUCUAGGUAUGGGGAAGGGGAUUGUAUUAUCUCUUAGUAUUACUUUGACAUCUACAGACAUUUAUUUUUUUGUACUUAUUUAAUGUGUACGGCUGUCUCAUCUGCAUUUGUGUUUGUGUUACUACGUGCAUAACUUGUUACAGGCAGCUGUAAACCACCUUGUGGGUGCUGGGAAUUAAAACUAAGUCCUCUGGAAGGGCAGCAGUUCUCAGCUCCACUGAACCAUCUCUCUUGGCCAUACAUUGAUACUUUUAAGGUACAUGAGUCAACUGUUUUGUAUAAUAUUUUCAUACUACCUUGUCUCUUGUCUCUAUUUUACAAAUUCUGGUCGUAAGAUUUUAGCAGGGGUGCUCUCCUCAGAAGUGGGCUUUCUCAGAAGUAUGACACACAUCUUUCCAUUACUGCCACAGUGUCUGCUUCUUGCCACCAUCAGGUGCUUGAAAUAAGAUGGCACUGUCUGCAUAGUCUAUGGAUAUAUAAUAAAAUAUGGAGUCUUAUGGCUUGGGCAGUGGAAGUGUGAGGCUGCCCAUUACAGGCUAUUUUAUUACACUGUGAAGUCCAGGAUUGUGAACUAGGAAAACCUAUUUCUUGUUGUGGUAUGGCUCAGCCCCAGCAUACACCUUUAACCCAAGAGCUUUCUGUUAACAAGAGAUAAAUAAAGUCAACAAUAGGUCAAGAGGCGGGGCAAGCAACUAGCUGACAGCUAGUGAACAGAAGAAAACCCAGGAAAUGAGAAAGGAGGGUCUUUGAGUUGACAGGGAUUUAAGACAGUGUGGAAGAAGGAGAGGAGUUUUUGCCUUCUGGGAAGUCAGUGGAGUAGGAAGGUCAGCUGGGUGCUUUCUCUGCCUCUCUGAGCUAGCAGGCUUUCACCCCAGCACCUGGACCCUGAGUCUUCAUUUAGUAAAUCAAGCAUUUGGGAUUUUGUUUUAAAAACAUCAACUGGCUGUUUACAUAUUGGUGGAUCAGAAAAUAGGUUGCUCAGGCAGGAACUGGGUCAGGCUGAAACCCAGAAGACCCAGGCCAGGACCUACGACCUUUAGUUAAGGUUCCACAACCUCCCUAGAUGGCAGCACCUAGUCGGAAGUAAAUGUUCAAACAAGCAAGCCUAUAGGAGUGUCUCUCAUUCAAAUCACCCCAGCAUGUGUACCUCUGUCAAAGUGGCAUUUAUAAGUCAGGUAGAGUAAACGACAAA